UACAGAGGGUGCGAGCGUUGUCCGGAAUCACUGGGCGUAAAGGGCGCGUAGGUGGCGCGACAAGUCAGUGGUGAAAGUUCGACGCUCAACGUCGAAUCGGCCACUGAUACUGUUGGGCUUGAGCACUGUAGAGGCUAAUGGAAUUCCGGGUGUAGCGGUGGAAUGCGUAGAGAUCCGGAAGAACACCGGUGGCGAAGGCGGUUAGCUGGGCAGUUGCUGACACUGAGGCG
This 230-nucleotide ribosomal RNA is filed under the name uncultured bacterium. RNAcentral's name for it is "partial 16S ribosomal RNA". It matches the Rfam family "Bacterial small subunit ribosomal RNA", at positions 524 to 753 of the family's 1533-position model. The record is from RNAcentral.